Molecule: ribosomal RNA, 623 nt
Filed under: Wilsonomyces carpophilus
Lineage: Eukaryota; Fungi; Ascomycota; Dothideomycetes
Description: partial large subunit ribosomal RNA
Rfam family: Eukaryotic large subunit ribosomal RNA
Source: RNAcentral
UUUGCAUAUUCCAAAAGCGGAGGAAAAGAAACCAACAGGGAUUGCCCUAGUAACGGCGAGUGAAGCGGCAACAGCUCAAAUUUGAAAUCUGGCCUCUUUUGGGGUCCGAGUUGUAAUUUGCAGAGGGCGCUUUGGAGUCGGCAGCGGUCCAAGUUCCUUGGAACAGGACGUCACAGAGGGUGAGAAUCCCGUACGUGGUCGCUAGCCUUCUCCGUGUAAAGCCCCUUCGACGAGUCGAGUUGUUUGGGAAUGCAGCUCUAAAUGGGAGGUAAAUUUCUUCUAAAGCUAAAUAUUGGCCAGAGACCGAUAGCGCACAAGUAGAGUGAUCGAAAGAUGAAAAGCACUUUGGAAAGAGAGUCAAAAAGCACGUGAAAUUGUUGAAAGGGAAGCGCUUGCAGCCAGACUUGCCUGUAGUUGCUCAUCCGGGCUUUUGCCCGGUGCACUCUUCUAUAGGCAGGCCAGCAUCAGUUUGGGCGGUUGGAUAAAGGUCUCUGUCAUGUACCUCUCUUCGGGGAGAACUUAUAGGGGAGACGCCAUGCAACCAGCUCAGACUGAGGUCCGCGCAUUCGCUAGGAUGCUGGCGUAAUGGCUGUAAGCGGCCCGUCUUGAAACACGGACCCAAC